RNAcentral lists this ribosomal RNA (702 nucleotides) under Eurotiomycetes sp. genotype 116. Its description in RNAcentral is "eukaryotic LSU rRNA". The stretch from base 104 to 702 matches the Rfam family "Eukaryotic large subunit ribosomal RNA", at positions 1 to 608 of the family's 3401-position model. Lineage: Eukaryota; Fungi; Ascomycota; Eurotiomycetes. The record is from RNAcentral.
UGCUGGACCCCCGGUACACUGAGCUUCUUAACUGAGCACGUACUGGAUAAGGGCUCACGGGACCCGGUCUUCUUCUUAGUCUCUAAGAAAAUUUUAUCAAGGUUGACCUCGGAUCAGGUAGGAAUACCCGCUGAACUUAAGCAUAUCAAUAAGCGGAGGAAAAGAAACCAACAGGGAUUGCCUCAGUAACGGCGAGUGAAGCGGCAACAGCUCAAAUUUGAAAUCUGGCCUUUUUAGGGUCCGAGUUGUAAUUUGUAGAGGAUGUUUCGGGUACCGCUCCGGUUUAAAUUUCUUGGAACAGAAUGUCAAAGAGGGUGAGAAUCCCGUCUUGGACCGUGGUAGGGCCCAUGUGAAACUCCUUCGACGAGUCGAGUUGUUUGGGAAUGCAGCUCAAAAUGGGUGGUAAAUUUCAUCUAAAGCUAAAUAUUGGCCAGAGACCGAUAGCGCACAAGUAGAGUGAUCGAAAGAUGAAAAGCACUUUGAAAAGAGAGUUAAACAGUAUGUGAAAUUGUUGAAAGGGAAGCGCUUGCAACCAGACUUGCGCGCGGCGGUUCCCCCUUCCUUUUGGUUGGGUUAUUCCGUCGUGUCCAGGCCAACAUCGGUUCUGGGGGUCGGUCAAAGGCUUUGGGAAUGUACCUACCCUUCGGGCGUAGACUUAUAGCCCGGAGUGUCAUGCGGCCUCCCGGGACCGAGGAACGCGCU